UACGGAGGGUGCAAGCGUUGUCCGGAUUUAUUGGGUUUAGAGGGUGCGUAGGCGGCUUCAUAAGUCCGUGGUGAAAGCCAACAGCUCAACUGUUGAACUGCCAUGGAUACUGCGAGGCUUGAGUACAGACGAGGUAGGCGGAAUGGAUCGUGUAGCGGUGAAAUGCAUAGAUACGAUCCAGAACACCGAUUGCGUAGGCAGCUUACUAGGCUGUAACUGACGCUGAGGCACGAAAGCGUGGGGAGCGAACAGG
This 253-nucleotide ribosomal RNA is filed under the name uncultured bacterium. RNAcentral describes it as "partial 16S ribosomal RNA". It matches the Rfam family "Bacterial small subunit ribosomal RNA", at positions 524 to 776 of the family's 1533-position model. The record is from RNAcentral.